This 136-nucleotide ribosomal RNA is filed under the name Pseudozyma sp. JS2175. RNAcentral's name for it is "5.8S ribosomal RNA". It matches the Rfam family "5.8S ribosomal RNA", at positions 32 to 154 of the family's 154-position model. Rfam says of the family: 5.8S ribosomal RNA (5.8S rRNA) is a component of the large subunit of the eukaryotic ribosome. The record is from RNAcentral. Lineage: Eukaryota; Fungi; Basidiomycota; Ustilaginomycetes; Ustilaginales; Ustilaginaceae.
AUCGAUGAAGAACGCAGCGAAUUGCGAUAAGUAAUGUGAAUUGCAGAAGUGAAUCAUCGAAUCUUUGAACGCACCUUGCGCUCCCUGCAGAUCUAAUCUGGGGAGCAUGCCUGUUUGAGGGCCGCGAAUUGUUUCG